This 391-nucleotide ribosomal RNA is filed under the name uncultured bacterium. Its description in RNAcentral is "bacterial SSU rRNA". It matches the Rfam family "Bacterial small subunit ribosomal RNA", at positions 37 to 433 of the family's 1533-position model. The record is from RNAcentral.
UGGCGGCAGGCCUAACACAUGCAAGUCGAGCGCGAAAGGCUUUCGGGCUGAGUAGAGCGGCGGACGGGUGAGUAACGCGUAGGAAUCUACCUGGUAGUGGGGGACAACUUGGGGAAACUUAAGCUAAUACCGCAUACGCCCCAAGGGGGAAAGCGGGGGACCUUCGGGCCUCGCGCUAUCAGAUGAGCCUGCGUAGGAUUAGCUAGUUGGUGAGGUAAAGGCUCACCAAGGCGACGAUCCUUAGCUGGUCUGAGAGGAUGAUCAGCCACACUGGGACUGAGACACGGCCCAGACUCCUACGGGAGGCAGCAGUGGGGAAUAUUGCGCAAUGGGGGCAACCCUGACGCAGCCAUGCCGCGUGUGUGAAGAAGGCCUUCGGGUUGUAAAGCAC